This 401-nucleotide RNase P RNA is filed under the name Polymorphum gilvum SL003B-26A1. RNAcentral describes it as "Bacterial RNase P class A". It matches the Rfam family "Bacterial RNase P class A". From Rfam's summary of the family: Ribonuclease P (RNase P) is a ubiquitous endoribonuclease, found in archaea, bacteria and eukarya as well as chloroplasts and mitochondria. Its best characterised activity is the generation of mature 5'-ends of tRNAs by cleaving the 5'-leader elements of precursor-tRNAs. The record is from Rfam by way of RNAcentral. Lineage: Bacteria; Pseudomonadati; Pseudomonadota; Alphaproteobacteria; Rhodobacterales; Paracoccaceae.
CCAGUCGGCCGGACGACCGCUGCCGCAAGCGCCGAAAGGCCGCGGGGGAGGAAAGUCCGGGCUCCAUGGAAACACGGUGCCGGGUAAUGCCCGGCGGGGGCGACCCCAGGGAAAGUGCCACAGAAAGCAAACCGCCGCGACCCUCGGGUGCGCGGCAAGGGUGAAAGGGUGGGGUAAGAGCCCACCGCGCGGCCGGCAACGUCCGCGGCAUGGUAAACCCCACCGGGAGCAAGACCGAAUAGGGAUGGCGCAGGGCCUUCGGGUCCGGGUCGGUUUCCAGGCCGGCCAUCCGGGUAGGUUGCGCGAGGCGUCCGGCGACGGGCGUCCCAGAUGAAUGGUCGUCACGCGCGGGGUUCCGGCCCCGCGCCAUACAGAACCCGGCUUACAGGCCGACUGGCAUC